CCUACGGGUUGCAGCAGUGGGAAUAUUGCACAAUGGGCGCAAGCCUGAUGCAGCCAUGCCGCGUGUGUGAAGAAGGCCUUCGGGUUGUAAAGCACUUUCAGCGGGGAGGAAGGCGGUGAGGUUAAUAACCUCAUCGAUUGACGUUACCCGCAGAAGAAGCACCGGCUGACUCCGUGCCAGCAGCCGCGGUAAUACGGAGGGUGCAAGCGUUAAUCGGAAUUACUGGGCGUAAAGCGCACGCAGGCGGUCUGUCGAGUCGGAUGUGGAAUCCCCGGGCUCAACCUGGGAACUGCAUUCGAAACUGGCAGGCUAGAGCCUUGUAGAGGGGGGUAGAAUUCCAGGUGUAGCGGUGAAAUGCGUAGAGAUCUGGAGGAAUACCGGUGGCGAAGGCGGCCCCCUGGACAAAGACUGACGCUCAGGUGCGAAAGCGUGGGGAGUAAACAGGAUUAGAUACCCCCGUAGUC
This 464-nucleotide ribosomal RNA is filed under the name uncultured bacterium. RNAcentral's name for it is "bacterial SSU rRNA". It matches the Rfam family "Bacterial small subunit ribosomal RNA", at positions 338 to 795 of the family's 1533-position model. The record is from RNAcentral.